ACGGUGGCUCUGCUACGCUAUCUUAUGAAAAGUUUGCUUUGUCGUCGUUGGACUUUCAAAGCAUGGCAUUGCAUGGCUCCAUAUAUAUCCACAUCCAGCUGUUAUCCUUUUGCAAAAUCAAUUAACCAGUCAUGGAUAUUCAUAUUACUACACCACUCUUUGAAUUCACUGUCAUUCAUACUAUAUGCCAUUCAAUCACGUGCUAUUAAUUAAAUUGUAAACUAUACUAUGGUAUGUUUGUUAAGACUUUAAUUGGUUCCAAAAACUACGUACAACCCAUG
This 281-nucleotide long non-coding RNA is filed under the name Glycine max (soybean). Its description in RNAcentral is "long non-coding RNA (GMAX_LNC000235)". The record is from RNAcentral. Lineage: Eukaryota; Viridiplantae; Streptophyta; Magnoliopsida; Fabales; Fabaceae.